AUCCAGUUGACGAGUCUCAAAUAGAACGAAAAGCGCGUCAUGGAU
Non-coding RNA from Schistosoma rodhaini, 45 nucleotides. Lineage: Eukaryota; Metazoa; Platyhelminthes; Trematoda; Strigeidida; Schistosomatidae. The record is from Rfam.